AUUUCCCCAAAUGCGGGAAACUCGACUGUGUAGUAUCUGUUCUUAUCAGUUUAAUAUCUGAUACGUCCUCGAUGAGAGGACUUCAUAUUAAACGGAUUUUUGGGCAUGGGAGUUGGAUCCGGAGCUUGCUCCCUCUGCUCCGCGCAUCGUCCCAGUAUUGCAGUGCCUCUGGGAACGGUUCUCAUCAC
Molecule: small nuclear RNA, 188 nt
Filed under: Mesitornis unicolor (brown roatelo)
Lineage: Eukaryota; Metazoa; Chordata; Aves; Mesitornithiformes; Mesitornithidae
Description: U2 spliceosomal RNA
Rfam family: U2 spliceosomal RNA
About the family: U2 is a small nuclear RNA (snRNA) component of the spliceosome (involved in pre-mRNA splicing). Complementary binding between U2 snRNA (in an area lying towards the 5' end but 3' to hairpin I) and the branchpoint sequence (BPS) of the intron results the bulging out of an unpaired adenosine, on the BPS, which initiates a nucleophilic attack at the intronic 5' splice site, thus starting the first of two transesterification reactions that mediate splicing.
Source: Rfam by way of RNAcentral